AGAAGAAUGCAAAAUAUCCUUACUAGAUGCAAUACAAUACAUUGCAAAGGCUUGGAGUUCUGUUGCCAAAGAAAUUACCUGCAACUGUUUUCAACAUGCUGGAUUUACUUCCUUAAUGCAACAGGACCUUGAUGUCACUGAAAGAAAUGAUAUCGUAUGAUGAUGAUGAUCUGCCUUUGUCCGAGUGGGUCCAGAAAAAUUGGAACGAUGAUUUAGGACAGCAUGAUUACGAUGCGUUUGCUAUAAUAGAUGAUGACAUUGUUACCAUAGAAAUGCUAACGGAGGAAGACAUAGUUAACAAAGUCAAAGGGAGUAAUAUCGCGGACAUACAAGAUGACGACGACAAUGAGAUCGAGGAACCAGUACCUAAUUUGAGGGAGGCUCUUGAUGCUAUUAGAAUUAUUAAUCAAUUUUACGAGG
RNAcentral lists this long non-coding RNA (420 nucleotides) under Androctonus crassicauda. Lineage: Eukaryota; Metazoa; Arthropoda; Arachnida; Scorpiones; Buthidae. The record is from RNAcentral.